This 1171-nucleotide long non-coding RNA is filed under the name Homo sapiens (human). RNAcentral describes it as "HSALNT0236579". Lineage: Eukaryota; Metazoa; Chordata; Mammalia; Primates; Hominidae. The record is from RNAcentral.
UGGGUAAGUCACCUAAGCUUCUCAAUCCUCAGUGUCCUGACCUACUUCACCUAGGUGUGAGGAGUGCAUGAGUUAGUACAUGUAGAGUGCUGCAAACAGUGCCUGGGGGAGACUGAGAGCUCAGUGUGUGUUCUCUGCUCUACGAUAUUAAAGUGCCAGGCCAGGUGCAGUGACUCACAUCUGUAAUCCCUUUGCACUUUGGGAGACUGGUGGGGGCAGUACAACUGCAGGUGGACCAAAUGCCAUGCGACUGGCAAGGUGUUCUCACUCCGAGCCUCAGUUUCCUCAAAGUAAAACAAUGGGAUUACAUUAGCUUGAUGAUGUUCAAAGAUCAUUAGCAUUGGGACCCUUUUGCAAAUGAAAUCUUAUAUGGCAAAAAGCAGACGUGGGAUGGAUAGACUUCUGAGUUUAACAGCUAUGCAGGAUGUCUGUGAAGACAUCCAGGAGAACCUCCCCUAGGUGCCUGCAGAGAUAGAGAGGUUUACUACAGGCAAGGACAGGUUUAGGGACCCCAGGAAUUCCUGAGGCCUUGAUUGGAUCUCAGCUCUUAAGAACAGCAGUGUUUUUCAAACCUCAUUGACAGUGACACAGUCAAAAAUAAAGUUUGCUUCAAGAUAUGGUACAUAUGUAGUGAAAUACAAGUUUUCAUAAAAUAUAUACACUGUAAAAUAAAAGAUUGUCCCACACGCUGGCUGGGACAAGGAUGUUUUGGGAAUAUAAGCCACAAAACUCUUCUUGGAAAUCAAUUGUAUGCCUGAUUAAAUGCUUAAGCCACUUUCUGAUGAAUUUUAAUGAGAUUAUGACCUCUUGUUAGAAACCAGUUACCUAUGUACACAGCUAAUAUCAACCCUGGAGGGAAGGAAUCCAAGGGCCUUUAACUGUCUUUUAAUAAAUCUAAUAAUCCUUAACUAGAACUUUUCUUUCUUUUUCUUGUAUCCAGUCUAACAAUGAUUAUCUAGUCAUUCUCUUUUCCUGUAAAGUGUCCUUACCUAUAGACACUUGUUGAAUUGACUUAGCAAAAGCCUCAUUUCUUGCCGCAACAUUGUAAUAAAAACUUUGACACUGGGUCAUAACUAAAUUGUCCAAACCUGGCCAGGCGCGGUGGCUCAUGCCUGUAAUCCUAGCACUUUGGGAGGCCGAGGAGGGCGGAUCACCUGAGGUCGGGAGUUCA